RNAcentral lists this ribosomal RNA (173 nucleotides) under uncultured bacterium. Its description in RNAcentral is "partial 16S ribosomal RNA". It matches the Rfam family "Bacterial small subunit ribosomal RNA", at positions 335 to 524 of the family's 1533-position model. The record is from RNAcentral.
ACUCCUACGGGAGGCAGCAGUAGGGAAUAUUGCACAAUGGGCGAAAGCCUGAUGCAGCAACGCCGCGUGCGCGAUGAAGGUCUUCGGAUCGUAAAGCGCCUUUCUGAGGGAUGAGAAAGGACAGUAUCUCAGGAAUAAGUCUCGGCUAACUACGUGCCAGCAGCCGCGGUAAU